This 377-nucleotide RNase P RNA is filed under the name Alphaproteobacteria bacterium. RNAcentral describes it as "RNase P RNA component class A". It matches the Rfam family "Bacterial RNase P class A". From Rfam's summary of the family: Ribonuclease P (RNase P) is a ubiquitous endoribonuclease, found in archaea, bacteria and eukarya as well as chloroplasts and mitochondria. Its best characterised activity is the generation of mature 5'-ends of tRNAs by cleaving the 5'-leader elements of precursor-tRNAs. The record is from RNAcentral. Lineage: Bacteria; Pseudomonadati; Pseudomonadota; Alphaproteobacteria.
UUGUGAAGUCGGAUGGCUGCUGCUUAAUUGCAGAGGAAAGUCCGGACUCCUUGAAGGAAAGUGCCGGGUAACGCCCGGCGGUGUCGAGAUCUGAAUGCUUUUCGUAAUUUUCGGAGACGGCGCCAGGGAAAGUGUAACAGAAAACAUACCGCCCUCUUGGGUAAGGUUGAAAAGGCGAGGUAAGAGCUCACCGCGUGUUUGGUAACAAACACGGCAGUACAAACCCCACUUGGAGCAAGACCAAAUAGGGAUAACGUGUCCUUCACACAAUGUUAUUCGGGUAGGUUGCUAGAUAUCUGCGGCAACGCAGAUACGAGAUGAAUAGCCAUCGAAAUCGAAAGAUUUUACAGAAUCCGGCUUAUUGACUUCACAAAAAC